UCGAGGGGCAUCGGGAUUGAAGCUUGCUUCAAUUGCCGGCGACCGGCGCACGGGUGCGUAACGCGUAUGUAACCUACCUAUAACGGGGGCAUAACACUGAGAAAUUGGUACUAAUUCCCCAUAAUAUUCGGAGAGGCAUCUCUCCGGGUUGAAAACUCCGGUGGUUAUAGAUGGACAUGCGUUGUAUUAGCUAGUUGGUGAGGUAACGGCUCACCAAGGCAACGAUACAUAGGGGGACUGAGAGGUUAACCCCCCACACUGGUACUGAGACACGGACCAGACUCCUACGGGAGGCAGCAGUGAGGAAUAUUGGUCAACGGACGCAAGUCUGAACCAGCCAUGCCGCGUGCAGGAAGACGGCUCCAUGAGUUGUAAACUGCUUUUGUACGAGGGUAAACUCACCUACGUGUAGGUGACUGAAAGUAUCGUACGAAUAAGGAUCGGCUAACUCCGUGCCAGCAGCCGCGGUAAUACGGAGGAUUCAAGCGUUAUCCGGAUUUAUUGGGUUUAAAGGGUGCGUAGGCGGUUUGAUAAGUUAGAGGUGAAAUCCCGGGGCUUAACUCCGGAACUGCCUCUAAUACUGUUAGACUAGAGAGUAGUUGCGGUAGGCGGAAUGUAUGGUGUAGCGGUGAAAUGCUUAGAGAUCAUACAG
This 652-nucleotide ribosomal RNA is filed under the name uncultured bacterium. RNAcentral's name for it is "bacterial SSU rRNA". It matches the Rfam family "Bacterial small subunit ribosomal RNA", at positions 62 to 704 of the family's 1533-position model. The record is from RNAcentral.